AAUCAACGCUGGCGGCGUGCCUCAGACAUGCAAGUCGAACGAUUAAGACUCUCUUCGGAGAGUGUAUAAAGUGGCGCACGGGUGAGUAACACGUAGGUAAUGUACCGAAGGGUGGGGAAUAACUUAGGGAAACUUAAGCUAAUACCGCAUAAUGCAGCGGCUCGACAUCGAGACAGUUGUUAAAGGAGCAAUCCGCCUUUUGAGCAGCCUGCGGCAGAUUAGCUAGUUGGUAAGGUAAUGGCUUACCAAGGCUACGAUCUGUAACCGACCUGAGAGGGUGGUCGGUCACACUGACACUGAAUAACGGGUCAGACUCCUACGGGAGGCAGCAGUCGGGAAUUUUGGGCAAUGGGCGAACGCCUGACCCAGCAACGCCGCGUGAAGGAUGAAGUAUUUCGGUAUGUAAACUUCGUAAGAAUAGGAAGAAUAAAUGACGGUACUAUUUGUAAGGUCCGGCUAACUACGUGCCAGCAG
This 474-nucleotide ribosomal RNA is filed under the name uncultured bacterium. Its description in RNAcentral is "bacterial SSU rRNA". It matches the Rfam family "Bacterial small subunit ribosomal RNA", at positions 32 to 514 of the family's 1533-position model. The record is from RNAcentral.